Molecule: long non-coding RNA, 1928 nt
Organism: Clupea harengus (Atlantic herring)
Lineage: Eukaryota; Metazoa; Chordata; Actinopteri; Clupeiformes; Clupeidae
Source: Ensembl
UUCCCCAUGAUUCUCAUGCAGGAAGUGUUGCUCAAGACCUGGGAAGUGAAAACUAGGAGCUGAUUUAGAUGUAUGGAAGGUGAGCUACUAGAAACCCCUAACCUUAUUCUCAGACUCUCUUGUACUCUGGAUUCUUAUGAAUGUUAUUGUCGCUGUUUAUUGAAUGUUGUUUCGAAUAUAUCCAAGAUUUAAUGGCUCUCCAUUAUAGUCUAAAAAGAUAAGCCUGAAAAGAACUUUGUGUGUUCUCCUACUGGUGUGUUUAGACUACUGAAAUUAGGCUACUUACUUGCCUUUUAUCUAAAAUAGGGAUGGCCAAAAACAUAACCAAAGAGAACAUAAAGAACAUUCAGACAAAAAAAAAGAUAAUCUCUUCACCUCUUCAUCACAUGCAGUUUGUUGAAAGUUAUGAAGUUUGUUGUUUUUGUUGAGUUCAAGGUUACUUUACAAAGUCUGUUUGUUUGGUCUGUUGUCACCGUUGCAACGGUUUGGCAGACAUUUUGAAACGAAACUCCUAACUCUUUUCCUCUUGUGUCCUGCACCCUCCUGUAGUGUAUCCAUUCUUGUCAUCACAAUCAGUUGGGAAUAUAAUCUUAACUUUACAUUUUUUUUUUUUUUUUUAAUAAAACCCUCCAGUCCAAGGGAGACCAUUGCCUCCUCCCCUCAGAGGGGACCUUAAAAGACUCUCCAUCUGGAGGUAUGGGGCCCUCUUGACUCAGCUGAACCACACCUCAGAAAGAUCUCGUGUGUUUUGAAACACAAAUAAAAGUCUCUAGACUGCAAUCCCUCACAUGUCACAUUUUCACUAAAAGAAAGAAGACUGCAUAUUCAAGUAGUCGUAACUUCAAAAAACGCCACGAUCUAAGUAAAAAAUGUCAGUUCAGUGACAUUGUAUAAACUACAGGUCUACAUCAGGUCUAUGGAACAGGCCAUGUAUAGACCACAUUCAGUGAUCAGGUCUACAUCAGGUCUAUGGAACAUGCCAUGUAUAGACUACAUUGUUUUUCUCUGUGGGAUGUGUCACUCAGCUUGAGCUUUAAGUUGUGACCAAGCUAUAAUCAAUUAAUACUGCUUUUCCAUUGACUGUUGUUGUACAGCACAAUACAAUACAAUGCAGAACAGUACACUCUGGAGGAGUACCUGUCACCUCAACUAGUACCCAUGAAGGUAGGCGGGGUCGACGGCAGAUUUGGGUUUGGUUACAAUAUCUCAAGUGACACGCUUACAAACAAUGAAGGAGCUCUAAGGUUGGAUGUACCUCUUGCUAGAUAGGCUAUGAUGACUCAAAUGACAGAAAGAUACAGGACAGGAACUGCAGCAGUCAAGGAAAAGACUGUUGAAAGAAAAAACAAGAGCAUUGAGGAAAUCGUGCUGCUUCUUGCAGAUGAUGAAUAGAAAUAUAUGUGAGAGUCUGGCCGGGACGCACUUUAUUCGGCUACUUCACCUGUUGCAUCUGUAAUUACUGACUUUCAUAUAAAUCCAAUUCAAUUCAUUUCAUUUUUUUAUAGCACCAAAACAAUAAAAUGAGCUCUAGGCACUUUACAGAGCACAGGGCCUGAACCCCCUGGAUUGAAACCUCACACUGACUGACUGGCUAUAUUUUCACAUAAAGAUGCACACUAGUGGUGUCAGACCGGUUGGUAUUUAUUAAAGUGGACUUACUUUCAUCAAAGUUUCAAUACAAGAGAAUAAAGGGAAUUUUCAGCUGAAGUUCCAAUGUAAAUCAAAAGUUCUACUACGGCUCCAUAGUGGAAUACUUGCAUUUACAUUUGUCAAUGUGGGAUCGCCAACUAAGGUUACAUUCUCUCAGGAAUAGGUUCUAAAUAAGCAUAGCCGAGGUUUCGUUUAAACACUCAUGGGAGAAAAACAGUCCAGAUUAUUAACUUGGUGGCAUCAACAAGUAGCUUAAUAUUUGCUCAUAAAAUGCCUCA